Mesocricetus auratus (golden hamster) is the source of this 1332-nucleotide long non-coding RNA. RefSeq lists it as uncharacterized. NCBI's taxonomy places the organism in Eukaryota, Metazoa, Chordata, Mammalia, Rodentia, Cricetidae. The record is from RefSeq and is a predicted model, not a curated record. The transcript has 2 exons.
ACCAAGAAUGCGUUAUUUAGUAAGCUAGGUAGCAAGGACUUGACUCUAGUUGUGGAGACAUUCCAGGUAGAUGCUGAAGAUUAACGGUACACCGGGAGCAGGUUCAGGUUUGAGAAAUUUCUGUUUCUGAGGAAACUUCAGCCCUUGAUCGGUAGUCAUGUUCGUCUUAUCUCGCCUGCCAAUGGGCCAGAACCGAUGGACUCUAGUGACUACGAUUUAACUUCAAAUAAUGAGCCAGAAGCGUGAUGGCUUGUGCUUGGAGAAAGAACAAUCCUUUCUUGCCUUAGGAACUUCCUCUAAGUUCAUGAAAUUUGUCGAGCCCCAUUCCUUACGGUUUUGUACCAGACGUCCGCCUUCGGUCCAUUGGCUCAGUGCCACCUUCAACCCAGCCACUUUCAACUAAGACUUUUUGUGUGUCCUGAGCCUCCCAGGACAUGUGUCCACACGGCCUACGAUCCUGCACGUGUAGGUCCUUCCUUGGAGAUGGGGGGGGGGGGGGGGGGGCAUAACGGAGUCACCACCCAAUUAGUUCCCUGCAUCCUUGCUGUUCCCCGAAAGUGAGGAUGCUUGGAGAUCUCCAGGGGAGGCACAAGGAACUGGCUUUGAGCCAAAGGUACCAGUUCUACUCCUCCAAGCCUUACUGUAGAAUCCUAAAUUGGGCAACUGCCAGCCUUCAGGGAAGCGCUACUCAAAUUAGAUACCAGCAAUUACCCUCAUUGAAGCCCUUGAAGACUUUGUAUAGCUUUCUCAUGAACAAGGUGCCCAGGAAAUGUCACUGGGAUCUUGGGUCUCCCUGUUUUCCUAGCUUGCCUUUUUUUUCUUUUCCUUUUUUUUUAUUUUAUUUUUUUAUUUUUUCCAACUAGUCAAAAGGAUGCCGUGUAGACAAUGACAGUUCUGUCUGUGACUUCAAGGUUUAUAUGAGGUUCUGUAACGGUCCUGGCAGAAAUGAAGAUACUCUAAAGAGACAUUUAUGCUCCUCCGUUUGGCUACCAGAUUAUUGAAACAAUGGUUCCCAAGGAAAUGGAAUUUCCUCAGGAGUCGCAGGCUGGAGGAAAAGAAAGGCUGAAGGCAGAUGCAGUCAAGAGAGGAACUUGUCUCCCUGGAAGGGAUUUCACACAGCUCUAGAAGCUGGUCAGAUCACCCUGCAGAAGGAACUGGAGCUGAGACAAUGCUGCUAAGAGGGCCACACCCUGACUAGGAUUGCUUAGGUCACAAGAAUAGUGCUGCUCCCCGUGGGCCUAUGGGGGCCAUUUUCUUUCCAAUCACCACACUGGACUUCUAUUUGUUGGUCUUCCCAAUGUGGCCACACUGAAAUAAAUCUCCGUUCUCUGC